RNAcentral lists this ribosomal RNA (492 nucleotides) under uncultured bacterium. RNAcentral describes it as "partial 16S ribosomal RNA". It matches the Rfam family "Bacterial small subunit ribosomal RNA", at positions 29 to 507 of the family's 1533-position model. The record is from RNAcentral.
AGUGAACGCUGGCGGUAGGCCUAACACAUGCAAGUCGAACGGCAGCACAGUAAGAGCUUGCUCUUACGGGUGGCGAGUGGCGGACGGGUGAGGAAUACAUCGGAAGCUACUUUUUCGUGGGGGAGAACGUAGGGAAACUUACGCUAAUACCGCAUACGACCGACGGGUGAAAGCAGGGGGUCUUCGUACCUUUCUCGAUUAAAUGGGGCGAGGUCGGAUUAACUAUGUUGGGGGGUAAAUGACCACCAAGGCGACAAUCCGUAGGUGGUCUGAGAGGAUGAUCAGCCACCCUGGAACUGAGACACGGUCCAGACUCCUACGGGAGGCAGCAGUGGGGAAUAUUGGACAAUGGGCGCAAGCCUGAUCCAGCCAUACCGCGUGGGUGAAGAAGGCCUUCGGGUUGUAAAGCCCUUUUGUUGGGAAAGAAAAGCAGCAGGUUAAUACCCCGCUGUUCUGACGGUACCCAAAGAAUAAGCACCGGCUAACUUCGUG